UUAAGAAUUUAGUUCUCAUUGUUGUCCAAGUCUAAGAUUAUGGGCUAUUGAGGGCUAAAAGAUAUGAUAAACUAUCGGAAGCAAUAUUUACAGAAUUAAAUUUAUUAUUAUCGUCGAACCAUUCUAGAGCCUUAAAGAUUGCAAUAUUUUCUGCUUGGAAACACUAUUAUAAUAAAAUAAUAUACAAGAUUUUUCAUAUAUAAAAAUAUUUUCAUAGAAUGCACACCAUCCCACACCAACACCAUUUUCAGAUUUAGAACCGUCAGUAUAAAUUUAUUUAUCAGGAUAUUAUGGUAAUAUCCUCAUAGUACAAAUAUUGAGGUCUGAUGUAUUAUUUGGAAUAUUUAUGGUAAUGUCCUCGUAGUACAAAUAUUGAGAUCUGAUGUAUUAUUUGGAAUCCGGGUUGAAACAUUCUGUCGAGGAUGGUGGCCAGUUGGAUUAGAUGUGUUCUGAAGAAGGCUUGUACCGGGUUGUUGACAGUUCCGCUCUCUUUCUUUCUGCUUGUUGUUGCUCAUCCUGUCGACUCCUCUGAGAGAAAGUGUAAGAAAAUCAGAGGUUGGAUCUCAGAAAGUAUCGUUUAAUUAUCAAAUAGAUUAUAUUAAGAUGACAAAGGAACAUAGAGAGUUAAAAAGAAGGUAAGCCCAGUGGGAGUCAACAAGCAAAUCUGUAAUAUUAUACAGGUAUCGGCCGGCGCCAGGUCACGUGAUGUCUGGGGGAAGCUGGGUUGUUGCUAAGCGAGUCACUUUCCAAUACUCCCACCUGACGAGCACUUUGUUGUUUCAAACAGUCCAAGUUGGCUUCUUAGUCUUCUAUACUUUUCUGGAGGUAAAGCUUUCGUAAAUAUGUCUGCAGCUUGAUCAUUGGAGCAGACAUAAAGAAGGUCAAUUGCAUGUUUUUGAAAAUGAUCUCUGAUAAAGUGAUACGAAAUAUCAAUAUGUUUAGUUCUUUUGUGGUAUUCUGGGUUGUGAACAAGUCUUAUGCAGCUUUGAUUGUUGCAAAAAAUUGUUGUAGGCUUUACUUGUUCUUGAUGUAGCUCGUGUAGAAGUUGUCUCAGCCAAAUUGCUUCUUUUGUUGCUUUGGAAGCCGCAAUAUAUUCAGAUUCUGUUGUUGACAGAGACACACAAUUCUGUUUUUGACUGCACCAAGAAAUAGGUCCAUUAUUCAACAUGAACACAUAUCCGGUGGUUGAUUUUCUUGUGUCCAGGUCUCCAGCAAAAUCAGCAUCGGAAAAACCUAUCAGAGAUGUAGUGCAGGAACUCCCACCAAAACAAAUACCGAUGUUUUUCGUAGCUUUUAAGUAUCCAAAUAUUUUCUUUACUGCGGUCCAAUGUGAAGGUCCUGGGUUGUUCAUAAAUUGGCUAACCCUGCUGACUGCGUAGGCAAUAUCAGGUCUAGUUCCAGUCAUGAGGUACAUUAAACUACCAAUAGUCUGUCUGUAUGGAAUCUUGUUCAUUUCUUCAAUUUCCUGAUCAUCCUUUGGGCACAUCUCUUUUGUUAGUUUUGAGUAAGGAUCAGAAGGUACAGAUUGUAACUUAAUUUCAAGAAGGUUGUAAUGUUCAAGUGUUCUUUCAAUGUAUGAGGCUUGAUGCAGAAAUAACAUUUUAGUUGUUCUAUCUCGAUAUAUUUGUAGGCCAAGGAAAUAAUCGGCAGUAAAAGUUUUUAUUUCAAAAUUGGAAUUUAAGUACUGUACUAUAUCAUCUAAAUGUUGUUUAUUUACACUGCAGAUUAAGCAAUCAUCUACAUAUAUUGCAAGUAAUAUGUAAGCCUGUUUACAUUUCAUUGUAUAGACACAUGAAUCUGAUAUGCUAGGUUUCAGAUCAAACUUAAUUAAAAACUCAUGAAAUUUCUUGUUCCACAUUCUGGGGGAUUGCUUAAGACCAUAGAUGCUUUUCUGAAGAGAGCAAACAUGAUUUGGAAAAUAUUUGAUACCAACCACGCUCUGCUACCGUGUAAGAAAAUCAGAGGUUGGAUCUCAGAAAGUAUCGUUUAAUUAUCAAAUAGAUUAUAUUAAGAUGACAAAGGAACAUAGAGAGUUUCAACUUUUCUUAUUUUUAAUUUUCCUUCAUAUGAUAUACCGCAUGCCACCAUAAAUCCUUUGGGGUAACUUUCGGCACAUUCCUUCAUCCAAAUUGGCCUAGAUUUUUCCACCCUUUUUUGAUAGUAUAUAGCUAUUUUUCUGUCGCAAUCGGUUAAAUAUACCCAUGCUUCGUCAUAUGCAACAAUAAAUUUCCAUCUAUCAGCAGCAAGAAAUUUUCAUAAAAAUAUCUGCUGAUAGUGUGUCGCUGACGAAUAUGGCUCUGAAACAAUUUGUGAACAGCACGUUUUUUUUUUAGCUUUUAGGCCUAAAUCUUUAUUAUUUUAUUUAUUGUUGACACUGAUAAUCAGGGUGAUAAUCUUUUGUCCAUUUCUCCGUAGGUGCUUUGAAUAAAAACUUGAUAUUUUGGUCAUUAAUAAUAUUAUAAAUACCUUUUUUAUAGAAAUGUUGAUAUAAUCUUUUUUGCAUAUUUUAAUUAUGUCCAAAUAAGUAAGAUUAGCUCUGGAAAGUCCUAAAAUAUAACCUCUUAUGAAAUUAUUGUAUUUGAAGGGUAUUUUUUUUUUUUAAAUAACAAAAUAUAUGUAAUGCGCGUUAGAAUUAGCUUAAGCCUUUUUGAAUUCCACGUUGUUGAUUUUUUAAAAUAAAGUAAUAGUUCAUUUUUUACACCGGGCGCUCGUUUCCUAUAAGUGUGAACACCCUCUGUAUAUGGGCGCCAAGGAGAUGUUUCGUGGUGAAAUUGGAAAUGUACAACUCCUGAAACAUAUCUAGUUUUAUUAUUAGAUAGUAUCAUCCUGUAAGUUACAUUCAAAAAAAUGUAUACAAUAUAGCAAUGAUUCAUAGUGAAGAUAGUAAAAAAAAAAACACACACACAAAGGAUAAGUAUGAGUAUAAUAACUGUUACAUAAAAGGAUAGAAUUGGUCUUAUUUGGUGAAAGGAAGUGUAUCUUUAUGUUGCUGAGACCAUCAUUAGGGAUGCAGUGAGCCAUUCUCUAACAACAGUAGGAAACAACGUCCUUCAGAGACAAGCUGCUUGUUGAACAGCUGUAGCCAUUCUUGAAAGAUGCUAGAGGUCAUCCAUGCUUUGCUGUUAGAUGUGUAUGUGCAGUAGAAGUGUGGACUAAAGUUUCUGAAGCAUCGAGGCUUUGCUGAUUUUCCAAUAAUCAGCAAUUGCCGCUUGUCAUUUCCAGUAGAGUUGCAGCACAGGAGAACAGUGAUUCGUUGCUUCAUCCUUUUGACACCCUGGAGGGAUCCAAGGCGAGAGCAGGGAGGCAGAGAUGUUGCCAGGGCGAAGGCUAGCUGGAUGAUCAUCCCUUUGUCAAGGCAUUACAUUUUGUAUAAACAAAACUCAACGCUGCAUAGUCUCAUAUUAAAAUUAAAAUAGUUUUAAAAAAAAAUAAAGGAGGUGGGUGAUUAAUACAACUUUAAUAUAUAUAUUUUUUAUAGUUGAGGUUUCUAUUUUGUCAGUUUAAUGAAGCAUUUGAAGCCAUUUAGGGGCAUAUGCAAAAUGUUCAUUAAUGUUUGAAGACAUUUAAAAAAAAAUUAUUAAUUUAAAGAAAAAGAAAAAGUAAAUUUACAUUUUGUAAAUUUACUGGUAAAAUUUUUAAAAAAUCAAUCAUAUCACUUUGUAUUUGAGUACAUAAUUUUCUUCGUGAAUCAACUUUCAAAUUUUUCGAAUUUAUAAAUGUCGCCAUAUUAUCCAAUAGGCCUAAUGAAAAGUAUAUUUAUAAAUAAUAAUUUAAAAUGAUUAUUAUUAUCAUUAAAAAUAUUUAUAGUAGAUGAAAGUAAAUUAAAAAUUAUUUGUAUUAAAAGUAUUUAAGUUAUAAAUAAAUCAAAAUAAAUCGUUAAAAGAAUAUUCUUUUGCAGAGCGAUUUUUGAGUUGUUGCCACACGCGUUCCACAGCACAGGGUUGCCGGAAGAAGUGUUCCGCUGGAUAAGUCCCGUUGUAAAGUGCCAUAGGGGAGGCAUAGGCACGUGGUGCCGUCGCUUCUUGGAGGGCCUCAGUCAGUAGGUCUACCAAGGUGUCCAAGCUGGGCCGGAUGAAAGUUGUGGACUGGAUAGAUCCCUGAAUUCUUGUUACCCUUUCAUAUCACUCGGUUAGGACACUAUGGCCGACUGUCUGCUGUUAAAACCUGACUGAUGUCCGGGAUGCCCCUGUCACUCCUGGUCUGGACCUGGGGGACCAAUCAAUUAUGUCGCAGCAAAAUGGCUGGCAGGUUUGGAUUGGGAACAAUAUUUUAAGCUGUGUACCGUUUGUACCGUUGUCACCAUCCAAAGAGAAAGUCUUGCAGUUUGCUACUUUGUCACAUGCCCCUAGAAGGCAGCAAUGGGUGUGCUAUCGCGCGCCGGUUUAUGGACCUUUGAGGUCUGGGAAACCAUUAUUGCUCCAAGGAUGUCACAUGACCUUGAGCAAUCUCUUCUUGGGCUUCAGGGUCAUGGUAGAGCUUCAUCCCACUUUUUGCAUUGCACCACAUGCUGAAAAUCUUUGAGCCAACACUGUGAAUCUUACCCACAUUCUCCUGAGAAGACAGUAGGAUCUCUCCACCUAUGGCAUAAUGGUCGAUUUUCUGGUGUUUCUCUCUGACCCUGGGCAAUCUCUUCUUGGGCUUCGGGAUUGUGGUAGAGCUUCAUCCCACUUGUUGCAUCACACCACACACUGAAAAUCUUUGAGCCAAUGCUGUGAAUCUUCCCGACAUUCUCCAGAGAAGACAGUAGGAUCUCUCCACCGAUGGCAAAAUGGUCGAUUUUCUGGUGUUUCUUCUCUCUCCAUGUUGUGCCUCUCUGUAAUCCUCCUCCCUUUGCCCUAGCCACUGUAGUUUGCUGACUAGGGUCUCCCAUGGUUCGCCUUGGUAGAGGUGAGCCUUUUCCCACAGGCUGGGGCAGAGUCCGUUGAUGAAGACCUCCGCGACCUCCGAGAUGCCUAUCUUCAGGCCAUCCGACUCUGCUCCCGCCGCAAGGUCGCUCACCCGUGCGGCAAAGUCUCGGACUUUCUCCCCGGCUCCCUGUCUACAGGAGAAGAACUGACUCCUCAUCUCCCUUGUGGAGACUUCCGGAAUCGCCUUUCAAGGCUCUCCUUUAGUUCUUUAUAUCCUAGACGGAUUUGUUUGGAUUGGAAGGCAAACUACCUUGCAGUAAAGGGGACUAUGCCCUUCCCUUUGAAUUUUUCUAAGUUGUACAGCAUGGAGGGCAGCUGGGCUUGGCUAGCUGUGGCGUUCUCUCUUUCGGCAGGCAUGAUCAACUGUUGAAUCUACAGGAACUAGGUAUUAGCUUCCAUCCUGACUGUAACAAUAAUAUCUAGGACCCAUAGAGGUGGGCAAAGUGGGGAAUAUGAAGUGGAAGGAGAGAAGAGAGACUUUCUUUAUCCAUGUUCCUAAAAAAAAAAAAAAUGAAAUGUUCGCACUUCAAGUGAGGAUCCAUUAGUUUAACAUGGUAAACAUGGUCCAUCAAUAAAGUCGGACAACAUUAUGUCGAGUUUCGACAGUUAAGACAGGCUAGACUACAGCAUGUGGCUGCUAAGUAAUCGCAACAAAUGGACUACAGCAUGAAGCUGCUAAGUAAUCGCAACAAAUGGACUAUAGCAUGAGGUUGCUAGGUAGUCACAACAAUGGACUAUAGCAUGAGGUUGCUAGGUAAUCAACAUAAUGGAUUACAGCAUGAGGUUGCUAGGUAAUCACAACAGUGGACUACCGCAUGAGUUUGCUAUGUAAUCACAACAAUGGACUAUAGCAUGAGGUUGCUAGGUAAUCAACAUAAUGGAUUACAGCAUGAGGUUGCUAGGUAGUCACAACAAUGGACUAUAGCAUGAGGUUGCUAGAUAAUCAACACAACGGAUUACAGCAUGAGGUUGCUAGGUAAUCACAACAGUGGACUACCGCAUGAGGUUGCUAGGUAGUCACAACAAUGGACUAUAGCAUGAGUAGCUAGAUAAUUAACACAACGGAUUACAGCAUGAGGUUGCUAGGUAGUCACAACAAUGGACUACCGCAUGAGGUUGCUAUGUAAUCACAACAAUGGAUUAUAGCAUGAGUUGCUAGAUAAUCAACACAACGGAUUACAGCAUGAGGUUGCUAGGUAAUCACAACAAUGGACUACCGCAUGAGGUUGCUAUGUAAUCACAACAAUGGAUUACCGCAUGAGUUUGCUAUGUAAUCACAACAAUGAAUUAUAGCAUGAGGUUGCUAGGUAGUCACAACAAUGGACUAUAGCAUGAGGUUGCUAGGUAAUCAACAUAAUGGUUUACAGCAUGAGGUUGCUAUGUAAUCACAACAAUGAACUAUAGCAUGAGGUUGCUAGGUAAUCAACAUAAUGGAUUACAGCAUGAGGUUGCUAGGUAGUCACAACAAUGGACUAUAGCAUGAGGUUGCUAGGUAAUCAACAUAAUGGUUUACAGCAUGAGGUUGCUAUGUAAUCACAACAAUGAACUAUAGCAUGAGGUUGCUAGGUAAUCAACAUAAUGGAUUACAGCAUGAGGUUGCUAGGUAGUCACAACAAUGGACUAUAGCAUGAGGUUGCUAGGUAAUCACAACAGUGGACUACCGCAUGAGGUUGCUAUGUAAUCACAACAAUGGACUACCGCAUGAGGUUGCUAUGCUAGUAUAUUUAUUUUUGAUAGUUGAGGUUUCUUUUUUGUCAGUUUAAUGAAGCAUUUGAGGCUAUUUAGGGGCAUAUGCAAAAUGUUCAUUAAUGUUUGAAAGACAUUUUUUAAAAAUAUUUUUAAUUUAAAGAAAAAGUGUAGAGAUUAGAAUGAAAAGUCUUGAAUUUAGAAUUUAUGCCUAUAUUAUUCAAUAGGUAUUUUCUGAUUGAUUGUAUAUUAAAGUGGUGUAUUUUUCUGUACCCAUUGUUCAAGAAAUCUUUUUUUAAUAUAUUGAUGGCUUGUAUAAAAUUGUUCUUAGUGUUAUUAUAUGUUCAAAAUAAGCAUAUUGUGCUGACUAGCUGGAUGAAUUCUUUUGUUAAAGUUGUGAUUUGUGAAGCAGUCGUAGUAAUUGUGUGAGGUAAGGACACACAGGAUCCAGUGGCAAAAACCCGUGGGGAUUCGAUCUGGGAGGAAAUAUAGGUCUGAGGACCACUUUGGAAACAACUGGUGUUGAGACCACCUCGGUGCGACGAGGAAAGUUUGGGACAUCGCUGUUGGUCUGGUGGUAGCUUGCUCUCUAGGACAGAUUUGUGCAUCCUGGAGAGAUGACUUCUCAGGGGUAGGAGAGCAUUGUCGGCUACAAAUGACUGCCAUCCCUUAUUCAUGAUAUUUACAGUGAUUACAGGUAAGCUGGCUAGUAAUCCUCCCCCUGCUUUGAGGCAUGCAGGACCUAGUUUUUUUGUGGGGGGUUGCUGUCAGUCACGGGAAAAGUGUUCUGGAUCGCCGCACCUGUAGCACUUGAAGGGGGGUCUGGUAGCCUCUGUCCUACCAGUGGCGUAGUCCUUGACUCCUUUGUCUUGUGCAUCCUGACUAGUGUUCUCCAUCUGGUUCUUGGAAAGCCGUUGUUGCGGCCUUUCUCUGUUGUUGUUCUGUUGGGGUCUUCGUAGCUCAUUCCUGGCCAUGUUACCUCAAUUGUGUAGGAAUCGAGAGCAUUUCAUAUAUUUUUUUAGGUAUAAUGGAAGAAGAAAAUUAUAAACAUAAUUAUGCCUUGCUUUGGGCGCCAUUGUUAAAAUAAGUGUAGAUUUUUAUACUUUUACUAACUAUUUCCUGAUCUCUACAUGUCCAAAUAUUAGGGCGCCAGUGGCUGCAGAAAAGCAGACCACAAAUUUAUGGCCGGCACAUGCAGAGACCUAAAGCUGUGCCGGCUAGCAAUUAAUGUUAAAAGGGAAAUUAACCAAUCAAUUUUUUGGUUAGACAAAUUUUUAUUUAGACUAAUAAAAUCUUUCAAUGUACAUCACAC
Molecule: non-coding RNA, 7905 nt
Filed under: Cordylochernes scorpioides
Lineage: Eukaryota; Metazoa; Arthropoda; Arachnida; Pseudoscorpiones; Chernetidae
Source: RNAcentral